Molecule: ribosomal RNA, 430 nt
Filed under: uncultured bacterium
Lineage: Bacteria
Description: bacterial SSU rRNA
Rfam family: Bacterial small subunit ribosomal RNA
Source: RNAcentral
GGGCCCGCACAAGCGGUGGAGCAUGUGGUUUAAUUCGAUGAUACGCGAGGAACCUUACCAGGGCUUAAAUGGGAGAUGACAGGGGCAGAGACGCCUUUUUCUUCGGACAUCUUUCAAGGUGCUGCAUGGUUGUCGUCAGCUCGUGCCGUGAGGUGUCAGGUUAAGUCCUAUAACGAGCGCAACCCCUACCGUUAGUUGCCAGCGAUUCAAGUCGGGGACUCUAACGGGACUGCCGGUGCAAACCGUGAGGAAGGUGGGGACGACGUCAAAUCAUCACGGCCCUUACGUCCUGGGCUACACACGUGCUACAAUGGUCGGUACAGAGGGAAGCUACCCCGCAAGGGGAUGCGGAUCUAUAAAACCGAUCUCAGUUCGGAUCGGGGUCUGCAACUCGACCCCGUGAAGCUGGAAUCGCUAGUAAUCGGAUAUC